Molecule: ribosomal RNA, 673 nt
Filed under: Rhizopus microsporus
Lineage: Eukaryota; Fungi; Mucoromycota; Mucoromycetes; Mucorales; Rhizopodaceae
Description: partial large subunit ribosomal RNA
Rfam family: Eukaryotic large subunit ribosomal RNA
Source: RNAcentral
AUUCUGCAUUUCUUAGUACGGCGAGUGAACAGGAAAAGCUCAAAGUUGGAACCUGUUUGGCCUAGCUAAACCGGAUUGUAAACUGUAGAAGUGUUUUCCAGGCAAGCCGGACCGAUAAGUCCUUUGGAACAGGGCAUCAUAGAGGGUGAGAAUCCCGUCUUCGGUCUGAGCAUUUGCCUUUUGCGAUACACUUUCAAAGAGUCAGGUUGUUUGGGAAUGCAGCCUAAAUUGGGUGGUAAAUCUCACCUAAAGCUAAAUAUUGGCGAGAAACCGAUAGCGAACAAGUACCGUGAGGGAAAGAUGAAAAGAACUUUGAAAAGAGAGUUAAACAGUAUGUGAAAUUGUUAAAAGGGAACCGUUUGGAGCCAGACUGGCUUGUCUGUAAUCAGUCUAAGCUUCGGCUUGGAUGCACUUGCAGGCUAUGCCUGCCAACGACAAUUUGGCUUGAGGGAAAAAACUAAGGGAAAUGUGGCCCAUCCGCGGGUGUUAUAGUCCCUUAGAAAAUACCUUGGGCUGGAUUGAGGUACGCAGCGAAUGCUAUUUGGCGAGUUGGCUGGGAAUAUUUUCUGAGGUGCUUUGGUACUGAGGUUGAUAUUCCUAGUUACACUUCUAUUCGCUUAGGUUGUUGGCUUAAUGACUCUAAAUGACCCGUCUUGAAACACGGGAACCAAAA